Molecule: ribosomal RNA, 684 nt
Filed under: uncultured bacterium
Lineage: Bacteria
Description: bacterial SSU rRNA
Rfam family: Bacterial small subunit ribosomal RNA
Source: RNAcentral
UGAGUUCGAUCCUGGCUCAGGAUGAACGCUGGCGGCGUGCCUAACACAUGCAAGUCGAACGGACUUAACCUGAAACCUAGUGAUGGUUAAGUUAGUGGCGGACGGGUGAGUAACGCGUGGACAACCUGCCGCAUGCAGGGGGAUAACAGUCGGAAACAGCUGCUAAUACCGCAUAAGCGCACGGUACCGCAUGGUACAGUGUGAAAAGAUUUAUCGGCAUACGAUGGAUCCGCGUCCGAUUAGCCAGUUGGCGGGGUAACGGCCCACCAAAGCGACGAUCGGUAGCCGGCCUGAGAGGGCGGACGGCCACAUUGGGACUGAGACACGGCCCAAACUCCUACGGGAGGCAGCAGUGGGGAAUAUUGCACAAUGGGGGGAACCCUGAUGCAGCGACGCCGCGUGGGUGAAGAAGUCAUUCGUGACGUAAAGCCCUAUCAGCAGGGAAGAAAAUGACGGUACCUGACUAAGAAGCCCCGGCUAACUACGUGCCAGCAGCCGCGGUAAUACGUAGGGGGCAAGCGUUAUCCGGAUUUACUGGGUGUAAAGGGAGCGUAGACGGCGGCGCAAGUCCGGAGUGAAAGCCCACGGCCCAACCGUGGGACUGCUCUGGAAACUGUGCGGCUUGAGUGCGGGAGGGGCAGGCGGAAUUCCUAGUGUAGCGGUGAAAUGCGUAGAUAUUAGGAG